UACAGAGGUCUCAACCGUUGUUCGGAUUCAUUGGGCGUAAAGGGUGCGUAGGCGGUCGCGCAAGUCGGAUGUGAAAUCUCAGGGCUCAACCCUGAAACUGCAUUCGAUACUGCGUGGCUAGAGUGCUGGAGAGGAGACUGGAAUUUACGGUGUAGCAGUGAAAUGCGUAGAUAUCGUAAGGAAGACCAGUGGCGAAGGCGAGUCUCUGGACAGCAACUGACGCUGAGGCGCGAAAGCGUGGGGAGCGAACAGG
Molecule: ribosomal RNA, 253 nt
Filed under: uncultured bacterium
Lineage: Bacteria
Description: partial 16S ribosomal RNA
Rfam family: Bacterial small subunit ribosomal RNA
Source: RNAcentral